GCCUGUGUGGCUCAGUGGAUAGAGCAUCGGCCUACGGACUGAAGGGUCCCGGGUUCGAUUCCCGGUCAGGGCA
Molecule: transfer RNA, 73 nt
Filed under: Myotis lucifugus (little brown bat)
Lineage: Eukaryota; Metazoa; Chordata; Mammalia; Chiroptera; Vespertilionidae
Rfam family: tRNA
About the family: Transfer RNA (tRNA) molecules are approximately 80 nucleotides in length. Their secondary structure includes four short double-helical elements and three loops (D, anti-codon, and T loops).
Source: Rfam by way of RNAcentral